RNAcentral lists this non-coding RNA (116 nucleotides) under Nomascus leucogenys (northern white-cheeked gibbon). Lineage: Eukaryota; Metazoa; Chordata; Mammalia; Primates; Hylobatidae. The record is from Rfam by way of RNAcentral.
GCCGGGCGUGGUGGCUCACGCCUGUAAUCCCAGCACUUGGGAGGCCGAGACAGGCAGAUCACCUGAGGUCAGGAGUUUGGGAAGAGCCUGACCGACAUGGAGAAACCCUGUCUCUA